Molecule: unclassified non-coding RNA, 22 nt
Filed under: Chlamydomonas reinhardtii
Lineage: Eukaryota; Viridiplantae; Chlorophyta; Chlorophyceae; Chlamydomonadales; Chlamydomonadaceae
Description: small RNA Cre_2352
Source: RNAcentral
UAGUGCGGACAUGGUAAUCAAC